UAUUUGGCCAAAAAGAGGAGGAUGAGGAGGAGAAGAAACAAUGUAAUUUUUUGCUAAAUAGUAUAAUUUUCAUUUAAAGAGUGUAAUUUUCAUUCAAAGAGUGCAACUUUCAUCUCAAAAUAUAUAUUUUUCUCUCAAAGAGUGUAAAUUUUUUUAAAAAUAGUGCAACGUUUCUCUGAAAUAGUGCAAUAUUUUUCUGAAAUAGUACAAAUUCAUCAUCUUCUUCUUUUCUCUCUAAUUCUUUAUUUUUUUUGUAGAAAAAAUUAUUUUUCUUUACGUUUUAUUCUUUAUUCUUUUUAUUUUUAAUUUUUGUAUAUUUUUUUCUCGGCUUCGCUCUCACUUGCACUCACUCCGAAUCCUCCUUCUUUGGCAUCGGUAUUAGUGCCGGCACUGGUGUUGGUGCCGGCACCGGCGUCGGUGCCUGCACCGAUGAACGCGAAGGAAGAGGAUGCGGCACUGUUCUCGUUAUCGUCGUGGAGGGUCGCGGAGACGGUAGAAGGGGUUGAAGAGAAAAAAAAAAAUAAAGAGAACAAGAGAAAAAAAAUGAGAGGAAGAGAACGUGACGCUGUCCUUUUUACUGUUGUAAAGAGCCGGAGAGGCGGUGGAGGAAGGUCAGAGAGAAAAUAAAAUAAAAAAAGGUCGAGGCGCGGCCUCGGUAGGGUCAGAAGCAAGAAAGGCGGAGCAAGGGUGUGUGGGCGAGGGCGAGGGCGAGGAAGCACGGAUAGAGGCGGAAGCAGAGGAUAGAGGCAAUG
This 752-nucleotide long non-coding RNA is filed under the name Ananas comosus (pineapple). Its description in RNAcentral is "long non-coding RNA (ACOM_LNC004110)". The record is from RNAcentral. Lineage: Eukaryota; Viridiplantae; Streptophyta; Magnoliopsida; Poales; Bromeliaceae.